GCUGGGCGCAGUGGUAUGUGCCUGUAAUCCCAGCUACUCAGGAGGCUGAGACAGGAAAAUCGCUUGAGUCCAGGAGUUCUGGGCUGUAGUGCGCAAGGCCAAUCAGGUGUCUGCACUAAGUUCGGCAUCAAUAUGGUGACCUCCUGGGAGCAGGGUGCCACCAGGUUGCCUAAGGAGGAGUGAACCAGUCCGGGUCAGAAAUGGAGCAGGUCAAAGCUCCCAUGCUGAUCAGUAGUGGGAUGUUACUGUGAAUAGCCACUGCAUUCCAGCCUGGGCAACAUAGUAAGACCCCAUCUCUU
This is a non-coding RNA of Otolemur garnettii (small-eared galago), 299 nucleotides long. The record is from Rfam. Lineage: Eukaryota; Metazoa; Chordata; Mammalia; Primates; Galagidae.